CUCCAGCAUUUUGUGUCGAUCUUCGGUGUAAACCAACAUCUGCAGUUCCUUCGUACACAAUAACAAGAGGUUAACUCGAACCUUUCCCUGUUCUAAUGAAUGGUUAUCAAUCUGAAACAUUAUCUGUUUCUCUCCCCACAGGUGCUGCCUGUCCUUCUGAGUACUAGCAGCUCCUGUGUUUUCACUUUAUGCUGUGACACCACUGUUCUUAUAAAAGUCCACAAUCUCGCCAAUGCCAAGUGAAACAACAAGUGCAAAGCUUCUUAUAUAGCAACGAAAAUGUCCAUCUGGUCAAUCAAAGAUUCAGGGAAGAAUUGUCCUCGCUCCACUACUGGGUCUGUAUUGAAAGAUGUUCUCCAAACUAAAGGAUCCUCAUCCAAUUGUAGAAUACCAGCCAACCAGAAUCUACCAUACAUACCAGGGAGAGAUGAUUGGGGUAGUCAGUCUGUGCAGGAGGUUUCUCUGUAGGAGAGGCUAGGACUCUGCGAGAAGAGGAGGCUGAGAGUAAUAGGCAUGAACACCACCCUAAAAUCCAAGUUUACUCAGACCAAAGUUUGCUUAUUACCCAUUUUCAUAGCAUGGAUUACCCAGCCUCUUCCUUUUGACCCAUGUUACCUGUAAAUUUCCAUUCAGAAUUCCUGCACUAAAAUCAAAUUUAAAAUGGAAUUUGCUCGAACUAAAAUCAAGUAACAAAAAUGGACAGCUUAUCCCAUUUUUCAAUGCAAUUAAUGGUGUUGAAUUUAUUGGAAUUUUGAAAAACAGCAAGAGCAACUCCACACUUUGCUACACUACAGUCCAUCUGCCAUUUCUCUGCCCACCCUCUCAACCUAUCCAAGUCCUUCUGCAGAGUCCCUGCUUUCUCUACACUACCUGCCCCUCCACCUAUUUUCGUAGCCACAAACGUGGCCACAAAGCCUGCAAUCCCCUCGUCCAAAUCAUUAACAGACAACGUGAAGGGUAGCGGUCCCAGCACCGAUCCUUGCGGAACUCUGCUAGUCACUGGCAGCCAACCAGAAAAAGCCCCCUUUAUUGCCACUCUUUGCCUUCUGCCAUCCAGCCAACCUGAUAUCCAUGCUAGUAUUUACCUUUUGAUACCAUUGGCUCUCAUCUUCCUUAGUAGCCUCCCAUGUGGCACCUUAUCAAAGGCUUUCUGAAAAUCUAGGUAAACAACAUCUACUGACCCUCCUUUAACUGUCCUGCCCUUUACUUCUUCAAAGAAUUCCAGCAAAUUUGUCAGGCACGACCUCACAUUCACAAAGCCAUGCUGACUUUGGCCUAUUUUAUCGUGAAUUUCGAAGUGCUCCGUAACCUCAUCCUUUAUAAUCUCUAUACCUAUAAAACUCUUGGAUGUUGGUGUAUUAUUUGUGUGUGUAUUUGUGUGUGCGUGUAUUUGUUCGUCUGCGUUUCACAUCCCCUUGAAAACACGACGUGCUAACGGUGAAAUUUUUACAUAUUCCGAUAGAGAUUUACGCCAUGAUGUCAAAAAUCGCCUCAUCUGAAAAUUUUAUGCAUUAUUUCCCGAGUUAUUUAUGAAAAUGUUCAAACAUUUCAAAUAACUUAGUAAAUAAGCGAGAUGGUCUCGCUGAUGACGUCACAAUGGAACUCCAUGCCUGCCGCUGCUCGCGCUGCGAGUGAUGUCACCCCUGUUCUGUCUUAUGUACUUCUUCGCUUCUUAACUUUCACUUCUUUAAAUUAGUGGCGUAGCAUUUUUAAACUGCUGCUCAGGUCGUGCUGCUCGCUCCGCUGGGCUCAUUUUAAUUCUAGAACUUUGCGGCGGCGGCUAUUAUCACCGCGCGGGUGAGGGUGAGGUUGCGGGACAGCGCGAUGGGAAGUUGAUCCUGGCGGCCAUUUCUCGCUCUGGGAGAGGCCGUCUAUGGGGACCUGCGAUUCCUCCGUCGAUCGCAGGGACUCGGGGAAUCGUGACGCCUUUUCCUCGCUGGUGAUCCCGAUCACACCUGGCCAUCACACCACGUCAUCGUCUGUCACGCGGUUGGGUAGGCUUCCCCUCGUGGAAGCCACGAUCAGCCGGCCCUCUGCUGCUUUUGACCGUCCUCAGAUCGCUCCGGGUCUCGCUUGGGUCUGCACCGGCCACAGCCUAGCUCGGGCCCAAUGACUCUGCUGCUCUAGGACCUGGGAUGGAUUAUUCUGUUGAAUCUUGCUUUGUGAGAAAGAUUGAGCUGUGGCAACCGAGGGAAUUGCAUAGGGGGCACGCAAGAGAUGGGCUCAGCAUAAAAUAUCUGCCGUCCUCUGGAACACAGAUUUAAUGAUUGGGUUGCCAAAUAAACUAAUCUGGAUUCAUCAGUCAGCCUGCUUCAUGUUCUCUUCUGGGAAUGUACUCUCUCUUGUUCUGAAGAUAUUGACCAUUUCUAGGGCACAGCAACCCUCCAUUACCUUCCCUGCUGGGUCAUUUCCAUUGAUGACUCAGAAAGCUAUGCAUUGCCUCACUACAAUUUAAUAAGAGGUGCGUAAUGGCAGAGAUCCAGCUCAUUGUGAGUUCCUGCAAAUAAGUAAUUUAUUUAUUUUCCGUAAGGAUGACUAGGCAUGUUGCAUUAAAAUAAACUGCUGAAUGAUCUUGUGAGUCAGGCAGCAUCAUUGAAGUGGACAGAUAAAGGGCCCUGAAGCAAAAUGUUGACCAUCCAUUUCCCUCCACAGAUAUUCCUGAUGCACUGAGUUUCUCCAACAUGUUGUCUUUUGCUCCAUAUUCCAGCAUUUGCUAUCUUUUGUGUCUUUAUACUACAAUACGUUCUUUCUUUGAUCCUCUUGGCACAUGUGUGACCUUAACUGGAAAGAUUGACUUAACUUUAUAUCUAGCUGUGCUGUAGCAUUUGAGUCUUGGUUCAAUAAUCUUUUCUUGCCACAUGUACCUAGGCACAUGUACAUGGUACAGGUACAUAGACCUGCACAUGUCCAUGGAUUUCUUCCAUAUAUUUAAACAAUAGACAAUAGACAAUAGGUGCAGGAGUAGACCAUUCGGCCCUUUGAGCCAGCACCAUCAUUCACUGUGAUCAUGGCUGAUCAUCCACAAUCAGUACCCCGUUCCGGCCUUCUCCCCAUAUCCCUUGACUCCACUAUCUUUUAGAGCUCUAUCUAACUCGCUCUUGAAAGCAUCCAGAGAAUCGGCCUCCAUUGCCUUCUGAGGCAGAGAAUUCCACAGAUUCACACCUCUUUGUAGGCAAAACACGCCUUCUUCAUGCACUAGCCCUGAGCCAUGUGAAUAUCGGAGGUCUAUCCUCCGAAAGCUCUAGGAGGAUUGUUGAGCAACUUGAUCAAAUAAUCCGUACUUCACCCUUGAGUUAGCAUCUCAAUCACUGGUCAGUCAUCAACGUUUUAUGUUGUUCAUAACAACUGUGGCAUAUGCCUGAUAAUUCAACGGAAAGAUUCAAUCCAGCAUGCCAAUUCUUUCUCGAAUCCAUCUGCUGUUUAUUCAGUAAAGCAAAAUAGUUUAGAAAAACGUUCUGAUCAAAAAUACAGAAUGAAUGGCCACACCUUCAAUCCAUCACUACUGUAUGUGUAUAAAAGACUUCAAUCCAAACUCUUUCCUGACAUAUCGCAGAACAUUACAUUAUCCCAAUCCACAUCUAUUCCUAUUAUAUGCAAUUGUAUUCCCAAUCCAAACAUUUAUUUUGUAAUGAUCAGCAGCUAAAUCAACAACAAAUAUGAAUUCAUGGUUGGUUGGUUCUGAGAAUUAAGAUUCCAUUAAAUAGCAGGCAGCACAAGAAUUCUAAUCAAUGUAGGCCACUGGGUAACUCGUUCCUAAUAUACCAAGGAACAGAAAUUCAAUGUACUUUGACCAGAGUUCAACACAGUAUAUUUGGGUAUGAUCCACUCAUCUGUUAGAUUUGCCAUGAUAUUUAUGUUUCAUUUGGCCUACUUGGAACUACCUCAGCAGAAAUAUUGCAUAAUAUAUGUCUAGUCUCCAAUCUUACUCCAUCAGCUUUGACUUGCUGGUGAGAGAUGAAUUGGAGGGAAGGGAAUGCAUGAGAGAUGGUAGGUAUUUAUAGUCCUUGAGGAAGGUCAACAAGUCACCCAUGACUGUUGGGCAGCCAGAUGGAUUGUCCAAACUUUUACAUCUUUGGAAAAGAGACUCUAAAGCCCCUGUUCCACUUUCACAACCUAAUUGGUGACCUCUGCUGAGUUUGCCCUUGACUCAUACCCGCAGCAUGGUCGCCACGAGGUCAUAGGAGGCUGUAGGAGGUAUUCGUAACUCGUCCUCCUGCUCGUGAGUGGGCUCCGCG
Molecule: long non-coding RNA, 4235 nt
Organism: Leucoraja erinaceus (little skate)
Lineage: Eukaryota; Metazoa; Chordata; Chondrichthyes; Rajiformes; Rajidae
Exons: 3
Source: RefSeq, a predicted model, not a curated record